GUAGUGGAGUGGAGUGUAGUGUAGUGUAGUGUAGUGGAGUGUAGUGUAGUGUAGUGUAGUGGGAGUGGUAGGGUAGUGGAGUGUAGUGUAGUGUAGUGGAGUGUAGUGUAGUGUAGUGUAGUGUAGUGGAGUGUAGUGUAGUGUAGUGUAGUGUAGUGUAGUGUAGUGUAGUGUAGUGUAGUGGAUUGUAGUGUAGUGUAGUGUAGUGGAGUGUAGUGGAGUGUAGUGUAGUGGAGUGUAGGUUGGCUCAGUGAGGUAUAGUGUAAUGUGGUGUAAUGUGGUACUGGGUCUGGUUUAGUGUGGUACUGGGUCUGGUUUAGUGUGGUA
Cherax quadricarinatus is the source of this 327-nucleotide non-coding RNA. NCBI's taxonomy places the organism in Eukaryota, Metazoa, Arthropoda, Malacostraca, Decapoda, Parastacidae. The record is from RefSeq and is a predicted model, not a curated record.